Molecule: ribosomal RNA, 2813 nt
Filed under: Bacillus thuringiensis
Lineage: Bacteria; Bacillati; Bacillota; Bacilli; Caryophanales; Bacillaceae
Description: bacterial LSU rRNA
Rfam family: Bacterial large subunit ribosomal RNA
Source: RNAcentral
AGGGCGCACGGUGGAUGCCUUGACACUAGGAGUCGAUGAAGGACGGGACUAACGCCGAUAUGCUUCGGGGAGCUGUAAGUAAGCUUUGAUCCGAAGAUUUCCGAAUGGGGAAACCCACCAUACGUAAUGGUAUGGUAUCCUUAUCUGAAUACAUAGGGUAAGGAAGACAGACCCAGGGAACUGAAACAUCUAAGUACCUGGAGGAAGAGAAAGCAAAUGCGAUUUCCUGAGUAGCGGCGAGCGAAACGGAACAUAGCCCAAACCAAGAGGCUUGCCUCUUGGGGUUGUAGGACAUUCUAUACGGAGUUACAAAGGAACGAGGUAGACGAAGCGACCUGGAAAGGUCCGUCGUAGAGGGUAACAACCCCGUAGUCGAAACUUCGUUCUCUCUUGAAUGUAUCCUGAGUACGGCGGAACACGUGAAAUUCCGUCGGAAUCUGGGAGGACCAUCUCCCAAGGCUAAAUACUCCCUAGUGAUCGAUAGUGAACCAGUACCGUGAGGGAAAGGUGAAAAGCACCCCGGAAGGGGAGUGAAAGAGAUCCUGAAACCGUGUGCCUACAAAUAGUCAGAGCCCGUUAACGGGUGAUGGCGUGCCUUUUGUAGAAUGAACCGGCGAGUUACGAUCCCGUGCGAGGUUAAGCUGAAGAGGCGGAGCCGCAGCGAAAGCGAGUCUGAAUAGGGCGUUUAGUACGUGGUCGUAGACCCGAAACCAGGUGAUCUACCCAUGUCCAGGGUGAAGUUCAGGUAACACUGAAUGGAGGCCCGAACCCACGCACGUUGAAAAGUGCGGGGAUGAGGUGUGGGUAGCGGAGAAAUUCCAAUCGAACCUGGAGAUAGCUGGUUCUCCCCGAAAUAGCUUUAGGGCUAGCCUUAAGUGUAAGAGUCUUGGAGGUAGAGCACUGAUUGGACUAGGGGUCCUCAUCGGAUUACCGAAUUCAGUCAAACUCCGAAUGCCAAUGACUUAUCCUUAGGAGUCAGACUGCGAGUGAUAAGAUCCGUAGUCAAAAGGGAAACAGCCCAGACCGCCAGCUAAGGUCCCAAAGUGUGUAUUAAGUGGAAAAGGAUGUGGAGUUGCUUAGACAACUAGGAUGUUGGCUUAGAAGCAGCCACCAUUUAAAGAGUGCGUAAUAGCUCACUAGUCGAGUGACUCUGCGCCGAAAAUGUACCGGGGCUAAAUACACCACCGAAGCUGCGGAUUGAUACCAAUGGUAUCAGUGGUAGGGGAGCGUUCUAAGGACAGUGAAGUCAGACCGUAAGGACUGGUGGAGUGCUUAGAAGUGAGAAUGCCGGUAUGAGUAGCGAAAGACGGGUGAGAAUCCCGUCCACCGAAUGCCUAAGGUUUCCUGAGGAAGGCUCGUCCGCUCAGGGUUAGUCAGGACCUAAGCCGAGGCCGACAGGCGUAGGCGAUGGACAACAGGUUGAUAUUCCUGUACCACCUCUUUAUCGUUUGAGCAAUGGAGGGACGCAGAAGGAUAGAAGAAGCGUGCGAUUGGUUGUGCACGUCCAAGCAGUUAGGCUGAUAAGUAGGCAAAUCCGCUUAUCGUAAAGGCUGAGCUGUGAUGGGGAAGCUCCUUAUGGAGCGAAGUCUUUGAUUCCCCGCUGCCAAGAAAAGCUUCUAGCGAGAUAAAAGGUGCCUGUACCGCAAACCGACACAGGUAGGCGAGGAGAGAAUCCUAAGGUGUGCGAGAGAACUCUGGUUAAGGAACUCGGCAAAAUGACCCCGUAACUUCGGGAGAAGGGGUGCUUUCUUAACGGAAAGCCGCAGUGAAUAGGCCCAAGCGACUGUUUAGCAAAAACACAGCUCUCUGCGAAGCCGUAAGGCGAAGUAUAGGGGGUGACACCUGCCCGGUGCUGGAAGGUUAAGGAGAGGGGUUAGCGUAAGCGAAGCUCUGAACUGAAGCCCCAGUAAACGGCGGCCGUAACUAUAACGGUCCUAAGGUAGCGAAAUUCCUUGUCGGGUAAGUUCCGACCCGCACGAAAGGUGUAACGAUUUGGGCACUGUCUCAACCAGAGACUCGGUGAAAUUAUAGUACCUGUGAAGAUGCAGGUUACCCGCGACAGGACGGAAAGACCCCGUGGAGCUUUACUGUAGCCUGAUAUUGAAUUUUGGUACAGUUUGUACAGGAUAGGCGGGAGCCAUUGAAACCGGAGCGCUAGCUUCGGUGGAGGCGCUGGUGGGAUACCGCCCUGACUGUAUUGAAAUUCUAACCUACGGGUCUUAUCGACCCGGGAGACAGUGUCAGGUGGGCAGUUUGACUGGGGCGGUCGCCUCCUAAAGUGUAACGGAGGCGCCCAAAGGUUCCCUCAGAAUGGUUGGAAAUCAUUCGUAGAGUGCAAAGGCAUAAGGGAGCUUGACUGCGAGACCUACAAGUCGAGCAGGGACGAAAGUCGGGCUUAGUGAUCCGGUGGUUCCGCAUGGAAGGGCCAUCGCUCAACGGAUAAAAGCUACCCCGGGGAUAACAGGCUUAUCUCCCCCAAGAGUCCACAUCGACGGGGAGGUUUGGCACCUCGAUGUCGGCUCAUCGCAUCCUGGGGCUGUAGUCGGUCCCAAGGGUUGGGCUGUUCGCCCAUUAAAGCGGUACGCGAGCUGGGUUCAGAACGUCGUGAGACAGUUCGGUCCCUAUCCGUCGUGGGCGUAGGAAAUUUGAGAGGAGCUGUCCUUAGUACGAGAGGACCGGGAUGGACGCACCGCUGGUGUACCAGUUGUUCUGCCAAGGGCAUAGCUGGGUAGCUAUGUGCGGAAGGGAUAAGUGCUGAAAGCAUCUAAGCAUGAAGCCCCCUCAAGAUGAGAUUUCCCAUAGCGUAAGCUAGU